This 2025-nucleotide long non-coding RNA is filed under the name Mus musculus (house mouse). Its description in RNAcentral is "long non-coding RNA chr2:141937796-141939821". Lineage: Eukaryota; Metazoa; Chordata; Mammalia; Rodentia; Muridae. The record is from RNAcentral.
UUCCCUGUUUUUUAACACAGGUGAGCCAUUUGCAUUGGCAGCAUCACAUAUGUCUAAAUUUUAAUUUAAAUUGGAAUACUAACUAUUGCUAAAUAUCUUCUGCAACAUUAAAACAAAACUAGGCAUGUAUAUGUAUAUGUGCAUUGUAUAUGUGCAAUGUAUAUGCAUAUGUAUAUGUAUAUAAAUUGGGUCAACUCAAUUAGUGUUAGUAGAAGUGGCCAUAUUGUAGUAAAAACCUCAACGAUUGAGAAAGGUAAUGUAUCUUAGAUGCACUCUGGUGUUUGAUCUGUAGGUAAACAUUUUUACAAAACAUAUAUCCAUGUCUCAAUGAAAAAGAAAAAAGCAAAAAGCAUUUACAUUUAUGCCAGCUUUUCUUACUACGUGCUUUAAAAUUAAGUCAUAAAUCCAACUAAUUUUUGUAUGUUUCUCUUUGUGAGAUGUUUUUGCCCUUCCCUUGAUAUACAUUUUCUGACCCCCAAUAUUGUGCUUGACAUUCCUCAUCCUGAGGGAUAGCAAAGAUGAAGGUCUCAGAGUUCCAUGGAAACAACACUACCUACCAUGCAUCCGGAUCUGUAUCACAGCCAUCAAUCCCUAAGCUAUCACAAAAUACCAAUAAAGAUCAGGGCGGAAUCAUGGUAAAAGGAGUAUAGGGACUCUUCUCUCGAUGAGAGUAAAUUUUAGACCUUGGAAUGUGAGGUGGAGUAUUCUAUCACACUGUUGACUUUGACAUGACAACAGAAUUUAAAGUGAUGUAAGAAGAAAGAUGGACAAGCCUGUCCAGGUUUCCUUAGGGUUUGGGGAGAGGGCAGGUAGAAAUUCUCAGUUUUCUAAGAAACCUCUCCUGUGUUCUUGAAAACGAAAUGUGAUUCAGCUACUUCCUCCUCAGCCCUCGGAGUCAGAUUACAGAUACUGAGGGAUGGAUCCUGCAGACAGGUACCAAACAGAGAAUUUCAGAUUGCAUCAAAGCAUCUGAUUGAUUGACCUUACCAACUGAGGAGGCAAGACAAUUUUACAUAUAAGAAGAAAAGAGAGCCACAUGCCUCUUCUCUUCAUUCCCACAGCCCUCAUACCCACAGCUCAGCAAGCCUACAUCGGCUUAAGGAACUAAAUCAUUACUUUCCUUUUCCACACCAAAGCCUUCACACACAUAAACCCUCUGUCCUCGUCAUUUUUAAAUGGCAUGUGCAAAAACACACAGGGAAGCUAUGAAUCUUCCAGAAAGGGUUCCCAAGGUGGUAAAGGAGCAUUUAUAAGAAACACGAGUGAGUCCUGAGAUGACAAGAUUGAGCUGCAAUAUAAAACUAUAGCAUAGGUUUUUUAAAAUCAGCAGAGGUUAAAAAUGAAAUUAGUUAACAUAUAGAAUAAGUAAUAAUUAUGUCAGAUUUAGGCAGAAAAAAAAAGAGCAGAAAGCAGAGGCAGAUGGACGCUGUCUCAUUGGUAACAGCUAUACUGUAUAAAGUUUGCUUCCCAUGGAAUCCAUUCCCCAUUCUUAUUGCAAAAUUACAACCAGAGAUGAGGCUCUAUACUUGGGCUAAAGCCUACUCUUAGGUUGCAGCUAGUGACUCAGUAGAAUCGCCUCAGCACUCCUGCUCACCAUUUGGAGGUCUAUCACUCUGACAAAUUCCUUACUACAUGGGCUGGUGAGGUGGCUCGGUGGUUAGAAUUAAGGAUGCUGUUCAUACAGAGGACCCAAGUUCAGUCUCUAGCCACCAUGUCACACAGCUCCCAAUUGCCUGUCAUUCUAGCUUUGGGCACUACAUAAUGCCUCUAGUGAGUACCUGUUCUCACAUGUAUAUAUACCGUCACAUAAUUAAGAAUAAUUUUUAAAAUACAUUCUUUGAAAAUAUCUUCAUUACAGAAAUGUCAUAGCUCCCCUGCUCCAGCCCAGAGGCUGAUUCAACUUGUUUUUGUGAUUGUUUUUGUUUUUGUUUUGCAACAGCCAUAGCCCAGGGGUGACUUUGAUCCAUUCCUGGUAGGAUAUCCCUAAUAUCUCCCUACAACCUUCCCUACUGUCUCUCAUUGUUU